RNAcentral lists this ribosomal RNA (156 nucleotides) under Oryza sativa Indica Group (long-grained rice). RNAcentral describes it as "rRNA 5_8S_rRNA". It matches the Rfam family "5.8S ribosomal RNA". From Rfam's summary of the family: 5.8S ribosomal RNA (5.8S rRNA) is a component of the large subunit of the eukaryotic ribosome. It is transcribed by RNA polymerase I as part of the 45S precursor that also contains 18S and 28S rRNA. The record is from RNAcentral. Lineage: Eukaryota; Viridiplantae; Streptophyta; Magnoliopsida; Poales; Poaceae.
GACUCUCGGCAACGGAUAUCUCGGCUCUCGCAUCGAUGAAGAACGUAGCAAAAUGCGAUACCUGGUGUGAAUUGCAGAAUCCCGCGAACCAUCGAGUUUUUGAACGCAAGUUGCGCCCGAGGCCUUCUGGCCGAGGGCAUGCCUGCCUGGGCGUCA